UGGUUGGAUCGAUCAGCAAAUACACAUUAGAUAAUGUCUUUGCGACCGAAUCCAGGCCACGA
RNAcentral lists this microRNA precursor (62 nucleotides) under Strongyloides ratti. RNAcentral's name for it is "pre miRNA Sra-mir-7880.5". The record is from RNAcentral. Lineage: Eukaryota; Metazoa; Nematoda; Chromadorea; Rhabditida; Strongyloididae.